This 1393-nucleotide ribosomal RNA is filed under the name uncultured bacterium. Its description in RNAcentral is "16S ribosomal RNA". It matches the Rfam family "Bacterial small subunit ribosomal RNA". The record is from RNAcentral.
AGAGUUUGAUCCUGGCUCAGGAUGAACGCUAGCUACGGGCUUAACACAUGCAAGUCGAACGGAUUCUGGAUUCGUCUGGAAUUAGUGGCAAACGGGUGAGUAACACGUAUCCAACCACCCUGCGACUCGGGGAUAGCCUCUGNAAAGGGAGAUUAAUAUCCGAUGUACUGUUUUUGGUGCAUGCCAUUUUCAGUAAAGUUUUUUUUACGGUCGCUGACGGGGAUGCGUUCCAUUAGAUAGUCGGUGUGGUAACGGCUCACCGAGUCUAUGAUGGAUAGGGGUUCUGAGAGGAAGGUCCCCCACAUUGGAACUGAGACACGGUCCAGACUCCUACGGGAGGCAGCAGUGAGGAAUAUUGGUCAAUGGACGCAAGUCUGAACCAGCCAUGUCGCGUGCAGGAUGACUGCCCUAUGGGUUGUAAACUGCUUUUAUAUUGGAAGAAUUGCGCUUACGAGUUAAGCGUUUGACGGUACAUUAUGAAUAAGGAUCGGCUAACUCCGUGCCAGCAGCCGCGGUAAUACGGAGGAUCCGAGCGUUAUCCGGAUUUAUUGGGUUUAAAGGGUGCGUAGGCGGAAAUGUAAGUCAGUGGUGAAAUCCUGCAGCUUAACUGUAGAAUAGCCGUUGAAACUGUGUUUCUUGAGUACAUUUGAGGUAGGCGGAAUGUGGUGUGUAGCGGUGAAAUGCAUAGAUAUACCACAGAACACCGAUUGCGAAGGCAGCUUACUAAACUGUCACUGACGCUGAUGCACGAAAGCGUGGGGAUCAAACAGGAUUAGAUACCCUGGUAGUCCACACUGUAAACGAUGAAUAACUCGCUGUCGGGCGAUACACAGUCGGUGGGCAAGCGAAAGCAUUAAGUUUAUCCACCUGGGGAGUACGACCGCAAGGUUGAAACUCAAAGGAAUUGACGGGGGCCCGCACAAGCGGAGGAACAUGUGGUUUAAUUCGAUGAUACGCGAGGAACCUUACCCGGGCUCGAACGGUGCAUGAAUAUACGAGAGAUUGUAUAGUCCUUCGGGACAUGUAUCGAGGUGCUGCAUGGUUGUCGUCAGCUCGUGCCGUGAGGUGUCGGCUUAAGUGCCAUAACGAGCGCAACCCUCGUCAUUAGUUGCCAUCAGGUCAAGCUGGGGACUUUAAUGAGACUGCCACCGUAAGGUGUGAGGAAGGGGGGGAUGACGUCAAAUCAGCACGGCCCUUAUGUCCGGGGCGACACGCGUGUUACAAUGGGAGGUACAGAGGGCAGCUAUCCGGUGACGGAAUGCUAAUCUCCAAAACCUUUCUCAGUUCGGAUUGGAGUCUGCAACUCGACUCCAUGAAGGUGGAUUCGCUAGUAAUCGCGCAUCAGCCAUGGCGCGGUGAAUACGUUCCCGGGCCUUGUACACACCGCCCGUCA